Aplysia californica (California sea hare) is the source of this 530-nucleotide long non-coding RNA. RefSeq lists it as uncharacterized. The transcript is spliced from 3 exons. NCBI's taxonomy places the organism in Eukaryota, Metazoa, Mollusca, Gastropoda, Aplysiida, Aplysiidae. The record is from RefSeq and is a predicted model, not a curated record.
ACAUGUACAUGUGUAUAUACUAGACAAUAGUUUAGAUGUUACAUCAGCCUCAGAUCAUACAUAACUCAUGUUUCACACCAUUGUGGACAAUUAUUAUUAUUGUAGCCUACAGCCUACAUUUAUCAUUUUACGUUUUUGUUUUGAAAGGGACAGACUUAGUUUUUGUAAAUCUGUUGGAAAGCAGUUGUCGUAAAUAUGUUGGAAAGCGUUCUCCAUUACUAGAUCUAGAGCUAUUACUGUGUGUCUUUCAGCUAUUGACGGUGGUGUUGGGGAGUGGGGAGACUGGUCGCCGUGUUCUCGGUCUUGUGGAGACGGAGAAAGAACGCGGUACCGUUUUUGUGACAACCCGGCCCCCGACCAUGGGGGGAGGGACUGUGGUGAGGGGGAUCUCACACAGACUGAGGAAUGUGGCCAGCAACUUUGUGAUUGUAUAACAACAGAGACACCCUGAGCUGGCCAGCCACAAGACGCACAAUGCACACGGGAGUGAAAAGAGACUGACCGCAAUAAAACUUCACACUUCUAAUCCA